GUCGUUAGCGAAAGCAAUUCAUCUAGGAGAGCAAACUCCGAUUACAAACCCGGGCAGGUGGAGGUCGUUAGCGAAAGCAGUUCACCUAGGAGAGCAAACUCCGAUUACAAACCCGGGCAGGUGAGGUUCGUUAGCCGUGGUAGGCAAUUCACCUAGGAGAGCAAACUCCGAACAAUAAACCCGGGCAGGUUGGGCUCGUGAGCCGUCAUAGGUAAUACACCUAGGAGAGCAAACUCCGAACAAUAAACCCGGGCAGGUGGAGCUCGUCAGCCGUGGUGGGCAAUCUGCCUAGGAGAGCAAACUCCGAACAAUAAACCCGGGCAGGUGGAGCUCGUCAGCCGUGGUAGGCAGUCUGCCUAGGAGAGCAAACUCCGAACAAUAAACCCGGGCAGGUGGAGCUCGUCAGCCGUGGUAGGCAGUCUGCCUAGGAGAGCAAACUUCGAACAAUAAACCCGGGCAGGUGGAGCUCGUCAGCCGUGGUAGGCAGUCUGCCUAGGAGAGCAAACUCCGAACAAUAAACCCGGGCAGGUGGAGCUCGUCAGCCGUGGUAGGCAGUCUGCCUAGGAGAGCAAACUCCGAACAAUAAACCGGGGCUUGUGGUGCUCGUUAGAUGUCGUAGACAAUCCACGUGAUGGGAACACCAAAGAAAAGGAAAAUAAAAAGGAACACCAGAAAAAGGAAAAUAUAGUAACAAAACAUCAAGAAAAUAAAAUAAAAAACACAGAUCAUCCACCUUCAGGCCCUAACAUCUCCAAAAUUAUGGGUGAGUCUUUUCUGGGGAGAAAGAGGCUCAUCCAGACCAAAGAACAUCAAAUAGGGAUGAUAUAGAAAGGAACACCAAAAAAUGGGAAAAAGAGAGAAAAACAUCGCAAAAGAAAAGUAACAACAAUAACAGAACAACGUCAAGAAAAGUAACAUACAAAGAAACAUCAUCCACCAUUCGGCCCCAAACUAACAUCACCAAAAUUAUGGGUGGGUCUUUUCUGGGGAGAAAGAGGCUCAUCCAGACCAAAGAACAUCAAAGAGGGAUGAUAUAGAAAAGAACACCAAAAAAUAGGGGAAAAAAGAACAAAAAAACAUCGCAAAAGAAAAGUAACAGCAAUAACAGAACAACAUCAAGAAAAGUAACA
Long non-coding RNA from Eriocheir sinensis (Chinese mitten crab), 1130 nucleotides. RefSeq lists it as uncharacterized. NCBI's taxonomy places the organism in Eukaryota, Metazoa, Arthropoda, Malacostraca, Decapoda, Varunidae. The transcript is spliced from 2 exons. The record is from RefSeq and is a predicted model, not a curated record.